AACGUCUAGGUUUCCAUCCGUGGAUGUCAGUAGUGUGAAGCAAGUCCUAGCAUACAAGUGUAAAGAGAACUCUACCGCUCUUAAGAUGAAAUCAAUCCGGUAUAUCUGCGAGAGACAGGACACAGAUUCUUCACCUCGAGGAGAAACUGAGGAUAAGUGAGAGGGGGCAUGGGGUGCGUGUAGGGUGCAUUCUACCACCUUCAUGCUACGUCGCGUUCUCCCGCAUCCUCAGCAUCACUACCGCCAUAGGUGCUUAGUUCCUGGGGUGUUCCAUUAUCAUUACUCCAAUAACCAUCAUCGUCGGGGUCAUUACCACCCGGAGAAGCUGUUUGUUGUACGGACAAGAACACUAAAAACCUUCACAGCAAAAUCUUAUUUGAAAGUUGACUAAAAAAAUUAUUUAAAAAAAUCAACGGUUACUUUCAACAACCUAAUUUAAAUUGAAUGAGAAUGAACGAACGAAGGUAGAACGAAAUUUUUUUCCUUUCUCACAUAUGAAAUUGAUUAUUUUGCAAAAUAUUGACUACUCCCAUUGAGUAGACCAGAAGUUACUGAAAGCUAGAUCUCAGUAUGAUGUUUCAAGGUCCAGUAGAAAUAUCGAAAAAACACUGUUCAGAUGAUUUAGAGGAAGAGGAAAUCAACGGACUGGAUAAAACUGAAGGAUUAUAACUUCUUGCUUUAUAACCUUAGAAAAGAGCACCUCAUCUUCGGGUAAAGAAAGUAAAUCAAUAAAACUGAUCUUCUAUGAAAACUUGAUAUAAUCGGACCACAGCAAAACUCCAAUAAAUAGCCAAUUCAGGCUAUUUUGUGUUCAACUGCAAAAAAGUUUAAAUAGUGAGAGAAAAAUUGUAUCUCAGAAGAUUUCCUUCAUUGAAAGUUGUAAUUAAUUUUAAUCAUUUAGUAGAAUGAAUCAAGGCCGACUAAAUGACAUGAGUAAAUCGGAACCGUUGGAAUAACUUAUUUUAUGAUACCAAACUGAAUGUGGAAAUGGGACAUUAACGAUAGAUGAAGCACACACGUACUCUCCCGGAGAUUCAAGACAAUUUUGAAAGCAUUGAAAUCUACAUGCGUAAGAGUAAUGAUAACCGAAGAAAAACUCGAAAGCCCAGUGAGGGAAACGUUCGAACGAGUGAUAUUUGUCAGCCUCGUUACUGAUAUAUCCAAAAUAUGGUUUUAUAAUUUACUUCUAUCAAAUCUGCUAUUAAUUUUUCAUUUCGAUUGCCUCAAAGAGUUACGUGUAAGGUCAAAUCAGAUUGUUUUUGGGAAAAAAUUUUCGACCCCGAUAAUUAUGCGCAUAACAGCCCUGGAAAAAAAAAUCUAGGAAAAAACAAAUCCAACAAAAAAUUAAAUCACAUGGAUUUUACUACAUGGGCUUUUCAUUUUUUUUUUUUUUUCGGUGACGAAAUGGGUGAAACUUUAAAGAUGUAACUUCGAAUGUCUGGGGAUCGAGUGGUCUUUGUUUCCCAGCAUGGGGAGUCAGUCACUCUUCCUUUAUUUGUUUUUGGCAUGUUUCAUCUUCCGGCAGUAUUGUGAUAAUUAGACACACGUGCACGGAAUAAUUCAUUCCGAUCAAAUAGUUAUAUAUUACAAAUUGAGACAAAAUAAUAGCUUUCGUCAUUAUGUUUACAAAAGUAUUUUCAGACGAAUGUGAAGUUUCCGAAAAAUAUUAUAAUCACAUUCGUCACAAAAUCCUUUGUGGAUCAUGUGAUGUAAACUAUUCUACAUUAGGGUCCCGAAAACUGCGAUUAGAAUGGAAGAAAUAAGAUGCCCAGUGAAGCGAGAUUAGAAUCGCGGUUUAUCGGGCCUAGUAACAUGAAAGAGUGUUUCGAUGAAUGCAAAUUUGCUAUCCGAAUAAAAGCCGAUGAUUAUAACCACAUUCGUUGAAGAAUCAACGUUUUGCCUCAUACUAUACAGUAUUUUAUAUUCCUCAGGGCAAAAACCGCCUUACGAGGUGAAAACACGGAUGUUCAUGGCUGAGGAAUAUGAAAAAGUAGAUGUCCAAUCUAGGGAAGUAAAAUAAAAGAGUCGUGGCCAUGUGAAAAUGUUUUGAUUGAAAUGAUUUAUUUGGAUUAUAGUAAACUUUCUUCUUGGUGCAGUUGUUCGAUAGAACAGUGGCUAGCCUUUUGUUUCUAUGUCUGACCAUCAUGGUCCUUUGAUGAUGUUUGGGACUCCUAAAGUUUCAGUUCUAUCGUGUGGGCGUCUACGCAUUUCCAAUUCAUUCAUUUUUUAUCGUGAAACUAGUCUUUUUCCAGAUAAUCUCCCAAUGGACAAGCAUUUCCUGAAUCUAUCUGUUUGUUCAUUCCAAUUCUACCUAAAAAAUUAAUCUCAUUCCCAAAAGUUACAGAAAGUAGUCGUGUGAAAAACCUAAAAAAGUAUGAUAAACUCGGAUACAUUGUAAAGUAUGAGCCCAUGCGUUGAGACUCUAAACAACUCCCUUACUAUCAAAAAAAAAUCGCCGAUUCAAAACGGCCAACUAGAAAAUGGCUCCACCUUCCUUUAAAAAACCCGGGAGUGACUACAAGACCAGAAGAAAAUAACAAACCACAUGUAUGAUAAAUUUCAAAAUUCGAAAAGUUACAGGUGAUUACAUUGAAGAAAAGGUAUGAAGGUAUCGAGUUUAUAUGAUCUUGUCGGCAGCCUCAAGAGUAAAGGGAGAAACGAUUGAGAAGCGAGAGGUUGUGAUAUAUUGUGUUGGCAGCGAAGAAAGGCAGAAAAUACAAGUAAUGACAGUACAAAUCUGUCAUCAUUAAUGAGAAUACAAAAAAAUUGAAAGGCAAAUGAAUGAGAAACCUAGAUAUAAACUAAGGCCAAACCCAAUUGAAUUUGUUCGAUUUAAUUUCUAGUUAUUGGCUGUGAGUAACGACCGCCGGUUUUUUAGUAAAAGAAAUAUGAUGGAUAAGGGAACGACUACACAAUGAACGAUUAAGAGAAAAUGUAAAGAAAAUAUAUAUAGAUAUAGAUUAGAAGAAAAAAAGAGGACAGGUACUGAAUGCUUUACAAAGGUGAUCAGAAAUAUAUACAUUAAUAUAACGAUAAUGACGUAGCACUCGGGGUAUCAACCCAUCCGGGAUACAAGGGUAGACUUGCUAUAGAGUUAUCUCAAAUAUUCAAGAAAACAAAUGUAAUAAAAAAAAUCAUACAUAGAUACAUAGAUAACAUGUAUAUAUCUAUGUAUACGUCAUUAUUGAAAAAAUUGCAGUUCUGUUCGAAGUCAACGAUAUAUUGAGUAUUGAUGAAAUUAAUCGAUAGAGGGAAAUUAUUUAAAAAAUGGAAAAAAAUGAAAAAAAAACGUUCAAAUGAAUAUAUUUAGAUGAGGAAAAAACCUUAUAUGUAUAUUAUUUGUUGGGAGAUCAUAUUAUUAUAUUACGUCGGAUAAUAUUUAAUAUAUCUAGAAUAUUUAUUUGUUGAUUUUGUGGUGAUAUAGAGAGGUAUAAUAUCAUAAGGAAUUAAACAGAAAAACGAUUAUGUAGGAAAGAAACCAUUUUUUCUUUCGUCUGUGGCUUAAACGGUCGAGGUGUCGUUGAAAAAUUAAUCAAUAGAAAAGUCUCAACGAUCAAAGAUAAUAAAUAUAGGUUGUUUUUCGUUUUGUAAAUGCACUAUUUUCAGCGCUCUAAAUAGUGGUAUUGGAAGGCCUCGGUAAUGAUAUUAAAAAUCUCACGAAUUAUUCACCUAGUAUAAUUAAUAAUUAUGGUAAGAGUAUAAUAAAUUGAUAGAAGUGGCGGAAGCA
Long non-coding RNA from Diachasma alloeum, 3727 nucleotides. RefSeq lists it as uncharacterized. Lineage: Eukaryota; Metazoa; Arthropoda; Insecta; Hymenoptera; Braconidae. The record is from RefSeq and is a predicted model, not a curated record. The transcript is spliced from 2 exons.